RNAcentral lists this small RNA (2373 nucleotides) under Pongo abelii (Sumatran orangutan). RNAcentral describes it as "retained intron". Lineage: Eukaryota; Metazoa; Chordata; Mammalia; Primates; Hominidae. The record is from RNAcentral.
AUUGCAAUCGAGCGAUAGGUCUGGCACCCCAGCUUCCUUCCUUCGGAACCACUCCUGAGUGACCUUGGGCAGGCUACCUCGUCUCCCCGAGCCUUAGUUUUCCCCGGCGGAGAGGGGCGGACAGUCCCUGGUUUAGAGGUCAUUGCCAGGGUUGUUGAGGCAACAGAUGUUUGGAGGGCGGUGGGUGAGGGUCGGGUUAAAGUCUCACAGUGGGCCGGGUGCGGUGGCUCACGCCUGUAAUCCCAGCGCUUUGGGAGGCUGAGGCGGGCGGAUCACGAGGUCAGGAGAUCGAGACCAUCCUGGCCAACAUGGUGAAACCCCGUCUCUACUAAAAAUACAAAAAUUAGUUAGGCGUGGUGGUGCGCGCCUGUAGUCCCAGCUACUUGGGAGGCUGAAACAAGAGAAUCGCUUGAACGGGGGUGGAUGUUGCAGUGAGCCAAGAUGGUGCCACUGCACUCCAGCCUGGCAACAGUGCGCAGAGCCAACGCCGUCUCAAAACAAAAGUCUCACAGUGGCCCAGCCUCUUUUCCUGCCAUCCCUGGAGUUGUGGUCUGUUUGAGGUUUGAUUUUCAGGACUGAAGCUUCAAGAUGGCUGACCAGGACCCUGCGGGCAUCAGCCCUCUCCAGCAAAUGGUAGCCUCAGGCGCCGGGGCUGUGGUCACCUCCCUCUUCAUGACACCCCUGGACGUGGUGAAGGUUCGCUUGCAGUCUCAGCGGCCCUCCAUGGCCAGCGAGCUGAUGCCUUCCUCCAGACUGUGGAGCCUCUCCUAUGCCAAAUGGAAGUGCCUCCUGUACUGCAAUGGUGUCCUGGAGCCUCUGUACCUGUGCCCAAAUGGUGCCCGCUGUGCCACCUGGUUUCAAGACCCUACCCGCUUCACUGGCACCAUGGAUGCCUUCGUGAAGAUCGUGAGGCACGAGGGCACCAGGACCCUCUGGAGCGGCCUUCCCGCCACCCUAGUGAUGACUGUGCCAGCUACCGCCAUCUACUUCACUGCCUACGACCAACUGAAGGCCUUCCUGUGUGGUCGAGCCCUGACCUCUGACCUCUACGCACCCAUGGUGGCUGGCGCGCUGGCCCGCCGUGAGCAUAAUCUUGGGCCUUUGACCUCCCUCUGUCCCCACCUCUGCCCAAGCCCAGUCAGUCCCAGCUCCCAGCCCCAACCUCUGCCAGCCUGGGGGUGGGGGGGUGUUCUAGGUCCCCAGACCUGGGGCAGCAGGUAGGUGAUGCCAUGUAAGACCUGUGACCUCACUUCUCCCCAUUGUCACCCCCAAUCCCCGCACAGUGGGCACCGUGACUGUGAUUAGCCCCCUGGAGCUUAUGCGGACAAAGCUGCAGGCUCAGCAUGUAUCAUACCGGGAGCUGGGUGCCUGUGUUCGAACUGCGGUGGCUCAGGGUGGCUGGCGCUCACUGUGGCUGGGCUGGGGCCCCACUGCCCUUCGAGAUGUGCCCUUCUCAGCCCUGUACUGGUUCAACUAUGAGCUGGUGAAGAGCUGGCUCAGUGGGCUCAGGCCGAAGGACCAGACUUCUGUGGGCAUGAGCUUUGUGGCUGGUGGCAUCUCAGGGACGGUGGCUGCAGUGCUGACUCUACCCUUUGACGUGGUAAAGACCCAACGCCAGAUCGCUCUGGGAGCGAUGGAGGCUGUGAGAGGUAAGGGCCCAGACUGCCGUGGCAGGGGACAGGUGGGGUCCUGAAUGGGGUCUCUGAGCCGGCCUCACGUUUGCAGUGAACCCCCUGCAUGUGGACUCCACCUGGCUGCUGCUGCGGAGGAUCCAGGCCGAGUCAGGCACUAAGGGACUCUUUGCAGGUCAGUGUGUGGGUGUUGGGGUGGGGGCGGGGCUGACCUGCGACCUGACCUCUGACCCGGGCCUCCUUUCCACUGCAGGCUUCCUUCCUCGGAUCAUCAAGGCUGCCCCCUCCUGUGCCAUCAUGAUCAGCACCUAUGAGUUCGGCAAAAGCUUCUUCCAGAGGCUGAACCAGGACCGGCUUCUGGGCGGCUGAAAGGGGCGAGGAGGCAAGGACCCCGUCUCUCCCACGGAUGGGGAGAGGGCAGGAGGAGACCCAGCCAAGUGCCUUUUCCUCAGCACUGAGGGAGGGGCUUGUUUCCCUUCCCUCCCGUUGACAAGCUCCAGGGCAGGGCUGUCCCUCUGGGCGGCCCAGCCGUUCCUCAGACACAACUUCUUCAUGCUGCUCCAGUCGUGGGGAUCAUCACUUACCCACCCCCCAAGUUCAAGACCAAAUCUUCCAGCUGCCCCCUUUGUGUUUCCCUGUGUUUGCUGUAGCUGGGCCUGUCUCCAGGAACCCAGAGGCCCUCAGUCUGGCGUAGUCUCCCUGACCCUUGUUAAUUCGUUAAGUCUAAAGAUGAUGAACUUCU